AUUGAACGCUGGCGGCAGGCCUAACACAUGCAAGUCGAACGGUAACAGGAAGCAGCUUGCUGCUUCGCUGACGAGUGGCGGACGGGUGAGUAAUGUCUGGGAAACUGCCUGAUGGAGGGGGAUAACUACUGGAAACGGUAGCUAAUACCGCAUAACGUCGCAAGACCAAAGAGGGGGACCUUAGGGCCUCUUGCCAUCGGAUGUGCCCAGAUGGGAUUGGCUAGUAGGUGGGGUAACGGCUCACCUAGGCGACGAUCCCUAGCUGGUCUGAGAGGAUGACCAGCCACACUGGAACUGAGACACGGUCCAGACUCCUACGGGAGGCAGCAGUGGGGAAUAUUACACAAUGGGCGCAAGCCUGAUGCAGCCAUGCCGCGUGUAUGAAGAAGGCCUUCGGGUUGUAAAGUACUUUCAGCGGGGAGGAAGGGAGUAAAGUUAAUACCUUUGCUCAUCGACGUUACCCGCAGAAGAAGCACCGGCUAACUCCGUG
RNAcentral lists this ribosomal RNA (490 nucleotides) under uncultured bacterium. RNAcentral's name for it is "partial 16S ribosomal RNA". It matches the Rfam family "Bacterial small subunit ribosomal RNA", at positions 30 to 507 of the family's 1533-position model. The record is from RNAcentral.